RNAcentral lists this ribosomal RNA (440 nucleotides) under uncultured bacterium. RNAcentral describes it as "partial 16S ribosomal RNA". It matches the Rfam family "Bacterial small subunit ribosomal RNA", at positions 338 to 795 of the family's 1533-position model. The record is from RNAcentral.
CCUACGGGAGGCAGCAGUGGGGAAUAUUGCACAAUGGGGGAAACCCUGAUGCAGCGACGCCGCGUGAGCGAUGAAGUAUUUCGGUAUGUAAAGCUCUAUCAGCAGGGAAGAAAAUGACGGUACCUGACUAAGAAGCCCCGGCUAACUACGUGCCAGCAGCCGCGGUAAUACGUAGGGGGCAAGCGUUAUCCGGAUUUACUGGGUGUAAAGGGAGCGUAGACGGCGAUGCAAGCCAGAUGUGAAAGCCCGGGGCUCAACCCCGGGACUGCAUUUGGAACUGUAUAGCUGGAGUGUCGGAGAGGCAGGCGGAAUUCCUAGUGUAGCGGUGAAAUGCGUAGAUAUUAGGAGGAACACCAGUGGCGAAGGCGGCCUGCUGGACGACGACUGACGCUGAGGCACGAAAGCGUGGGGAUCGAACAGGAUUAGAUACCCGAGUAGUC